CAGAGAGGACAAAAAUGGAUGCCUAACAGAGAGGACAAAAAUGGAUGCCUAACAGAGAGGACAAAAAUGGAUGCCUAACAGAGAGGACAAAAAUUGAUGCCUAACAGAGUGGACAAAAAUGUAUGCUUAAUUCAAGUGGUAUACACAGUAGCAAUUAUGUUUUACUCAGUUGCUUUAUGACUCUAAAACCUAAUUUAAAGAAUAUUUCACUCGAAACUGAGAUUUGGUGAACUCCGUCAGAUUAGUCUAAAAUCUCAAAAGAAUCAGGAUUGAGUAGGGUCAGCUAUGCCAUAAGGACCCCUUUUCGUUAGAUUACGAUAGAAUAUGAAUUUUGGUUAAAAUAUGUUACAUUUAAGUCACAGAGGGCUCUUGCAUAAAACUACAUAAGAUUGCGUUUCAGUUAAUAUCCAUUAUUACCAUUUUUUAUUUUUAUAAAAAAAUAAUUUUGGGGAGUUUGAAAUUGGGAUCCUUUGCUCAGGACAGGGCAUUUCCAGGCAUAGAGCCGACAUGGAAAUUAAUAAUAUUGAGAGUAUUUAGAAGAUUUGAGAAAGAAAAAAAAAUAUAUAUAUGUGUGUGUGUGUGUGUGUGUGUGUGUGUGUGUGUGUGUGUGUGUGUGUGUGUGUGUGUGUGUGUGUGUGUGUGUGUGUGUGUGUGUGUGUGUGCUAUGCCAGUGGAUCUAUGACACUGUGACCUUGUGAGUGUCCCUGUGAGGGGGUGGACUGGGGCAGUGGAUCUAUGACACUGUGACCUUGUGAGUGUCCCAGGGGGAGUGGACUGGGGCAGUGGAUCUAUGACACUGUGACCUUGUGAGUUGUCCCCGGGGGGAGUGGACUGGGGCAGUGGAUCUAUGACACUGUGACCUUGUGAGUGUCCCGGGGGAGUGGACUGGGGCAGUGGAUCUAUGACACUGUGACCUUGUGAUUGUCCCAGGGGGGGGUGGACUGGACCAGUGGAUCUAUGACACUGUGACCUUGUGAGUGUCCCAGGGGGGGUGGACUGGAGCGGUGGAUGAAACACUACAUUACUGUUCCACCUGCUGCCAUCCAUGUUGUUGCUGAAAGCCUACAGAGCCUGAACAGAGCCUGCACAUUGCCUAUAGUGUGACUCCCACCAACUUACUCACACAGAGCAAGCUGUGGUAUUGUAUUAGAAAAAAUGUGCACAUCAGUGACGUUCUACUGACGUCUCGAGAGACAUUUUAAUUUGUGAUGAUUUAUGUACAAUGUUGCCUAAUAUGUGACAGUCAUUGGUCAAUGGUCAUACGUUAUACUAUUGUUAUAGACAUUCAAUAAGAUUUUAAUUUGAGGCCAUGUGGCAGAAAGUGAUAAGGGAAGCUAGUGGGUCUGGGAAGGUGUGAUGUCGUUGAUGUUUGUAUGAUGUAUUUUGUAUCUUUUGUAUUGUUUCUCAAAGAUCAAAUAAAAUCAACAACAAAAAAAUAGAUUGUAAAAGAUGAUUGUGGUUAUUCGUCAAGGAAAAGGGUUGAGGUUCAGUUUGAACUAAGUGUUGCACUACGGCCUCUUCAAGUUGGGCCUUUGGAAAAGUACGAUACCUGUGUGUCAGUAAGGAGAAUACGGACGUGUGUCCACUUUGGUAAAAGACACCGAAAAACGUUGUAACCAUCUGGCUACCACUAGAGGGCGUAGUAGACCUGCAUUCACUUAUCCACUUCUGAGCAUCAGAAGAAGACAGAAAGAAGCAGCUCCAUUAUUAUGAGUCAAGUGAAGCAUCAUUGAA
Molecule: long non-coding RNA, 1734 nt
Organism: Oncorhynchus tshawytscha (Chinook salmon)
Lineage: Eukaryota; Metazoa; Chordata; Actinopteri; Salmoniformes; Salmonidae
Source: Ensembl